CCCUGCCCUGCCAGGGGCUGUGCUGUGCUUCUGGAGGAAUUUGAGCAAGGGGUUUCAGCUCUCACCUGGCUUCUCCCAGUUGAAGAGGGCAGGCAACCUGAACAAGCCAGUAUACCAUUGGGUCAACAAAGCACAAAACACCUGGGCUCAAUGCGCUGAAUUGGUGGGUGCUAAUUAGCUGAGUCUUUAAUGCUUCCCCCUAAUGAGCCUGUAUAAGUACUCUGCAUUGGGCUGCUCAACAGGAGAAGUUGUCCUGAUCCUCCAGAGCUGCUGCUCUCCUAUAGAGGCAGCUGUGCUGCAUGCAGGGCUGGCACCUCAUGCAGGGCUGGUGCUGCAUCAGCUCUGCAGUGCUACCUGGCUGCAAAGUGACCGGAGUCAAAUCCAACAAAACCUGGGGUAGCGUCUGAUGUGCAUGCCACCCACCACCGCUUAUCUCGGCAGCGAAGCAACCAUUGCAAACCAAAAUAACAGCAUCUUCCUCUGUGCCUGCCCUUCAAGCAGUGACAGGCAUGUUUUGGUAUCGCAGACCCCAGGGCGUUAAGCACCAGUCUCGCACCUGCACACUUGCUGAGAAAUGAGGGGUCCUUUGUUAAGGCCGGCGGAUUACAGGCAAGACGGCUCAAGCAACCCUUUCCUGAGGAUCCUCUGGAGGCACCGUCCCACCCCAGCCCAAGCAAGCCUCCAAAAAUGUAAUUUUAGAACAUCUGCAGAAUGAGCAUCUACAGCAAGAGUUCAAAGCAAUGCCAAGCCAGGAAAAUGAGUGUAAAGCAUGAGGCAUCAGCACGGAGCACUGACCUGCACUCCUGGGGAGCCCAGCAGGAGACUAGCAGCCCCUGCAGCUGCCCACAGCUCCUCAACUUCCCAAUGCAAGGACUCUGGCAAGGCCGUGAGAAAACAUGACCUCCACCAUCCCCAAGCACUGCUGGGGACUCCAGCUGCUGGUCCCUUCCUUGCUAUCUGCAGACACUUUCCGGCUCACAAGCUGACACGCGAAGGAUAGCGACAACGACCCUGACGAGUCCCAGGGCGACAGAGGGAAGUGGUUUGAGAGGGGUUUGCUGGAGUCUGUGCACCCAACCAGCCCUCAACCACAUGUUUAGUCUUGUCCCAAUAGCUGUGUCAUUGGCAAACAGAGGACUUCAGCUGGCUACUUUCUCAUGAGCUUUUAAAGAGGGGCAAAAUGGAAAAGAAGCUUUGAGCAGGCAGAGGAAGGAACUCUUGGUUAGCUGGGGGGGAGACAGCCAUCAGCUGUCACACCGUCUGUCUGGCAGCAGCCGGCCAGGCAGCCCCACGCAAGCUUUCCGUCCCAAGCACAUCCUUCCUGGCAGGGAAGGACGCAGGCCCUCAGGAAGCUGCUGCUUCUCCUGCCACACUCAGCAGUGGGGGUCCCAUAGGGCUCCCGGCACCUAAAAUGUGUGCCAGAAAUAGAGCCCAGGAGGUGCUAUAUUUAGUGGAGCAAGUGGUGACUUAGGAAGGGCCCCUCCAGCAGAUGGGCAUGGCCUUGUGAUGGGUCCUGUUCCCCAGGUGAGGAUGCUGUGUUGUACCCAGGGAAACGUGCAGCCAUCUCCUCUCAGGGGAUUGUGGGGCAGUGAGGUGGAACAGAUGUCCCACCUCUGUAAGGAGACUUGGAGAGAAGAGCAUCUAAUUAAGACCACAGCUCCGGUUAAUUGAGCCCAAUUCACCUGUGACAUGAAGAGCCACAAUCCCAUCAGCAAUAAUGGGACUGCAUCGGCUUACACCAGUAAUUACUCCAGAUCAGCAGUAUAACAAAGCUAAUUCAAUACUUCUGCAGGUCCAGCUGCUCAGGCUGCCAGGGGAGUGCUGGAGAUGGCCUCCCUUAUGCCCAGCCCCAACAAGCUGGUGAUGCAGUGCACGCUAGCAAUCCCUGCUGAGUUGUACUGCAGGGUGCUGGCAGGUGACUGUGUGCUUGGGGCCACGCUGGAUGUGGUAGGGUGUCGCGUGAGCUGCUGGCGUGGGCAGACAUGCAAAUUGACAGCUGCACAACUCUGCCAUCAUCGCUACUGCUCCCAUGGGGCUAGGACAAGAGGAUGGGGAUGGGGAUGGGAAGCCU
Lagopus leucura (white-tailed ptarmigan) is the source of this 2071-nucleotide long non-coding RNA. RefSeq lists it as uncharacterized. The record is from RefSeq and is a predicted model, not a curated record. The transcript has 3 exons. Lineage: Eukaryota; Metazoa; Chordata; Aves; Galliformes; Phasianidae.